RNAcentral lists this ribosomal RNA (253 nucleotides) under uncultured bacterium. RNAcentral's name for it is "partial 16S ribosomal RNA". It matches the Rfam family "Bacterial small subunit ribosomal RNA", at positions 524 to 776 of the family's 1533-position model. The record is from RNAcentral.
UACGUAGGUGGCAAGCGUUGUCCGGAUUUAUUGGGUUUAAAGGGUGCGUAGGUGGUCUAUUAAGUCAGUGCUGAAAUAUCCCGGCUUAACCGGGAGGGUGGCAUUGAUACUGAUGGACUUGAGUGGAGUUGAGGUAGGCGGAAUUGACGGUGUAGCGGUGAAAUGCGUAGAGAUCGGAAGGAACACCAGUGGCGAAGGCGGCCUUCUGGACAGUGACUGACGCUGAGACGCGAAAGCGUGGGGAGCAAACAGG